RNAcentral lists this unclassified non-coding RNA (5031 nucleotides) under Haliotis rufescens (red abalone). RNAcentral describes it as "dDB1- and CUL4-associated factor 8-like, transcript variant X3". The record is from RNAcentral. Lineage: Eukaryota; Metazoa; Mollusca; Gastropoda; Lepetellida; Haliotidae.
CACUGCCCAAAUGCGAGACGAAAACAAGGAUUAUCUCGACACAGCUGAGAAGCUUGGAAACAUUUCCUGAGAACACUUUGCGCACUUCCUCGGAGAUAAAUUGAGCAUGAGAUCAUCGGAGCGUCAUGACAGUUGCAAUAUUUUGAAAACUCAUUAAGGAAACAAUACGGAGAUCAUCUCCAAUCAAUUUACCCAAUCUGCGUGAGAAGUGUCUUGCAACAUCGUGCAAGAUGGCAGAUGCAUCAGAUCAAGAGGUUUCAAGCACAAACAAUAACACCGAAGGAAAUGGACUUUGCAGUGGCUCAGGCAACAAGAACGAUUUUGUUGAAUUUGAUGACAAGUCCAACCUCCCAACAUCAACCACGAGCGAUGACUUGUCAGAAUCUAGUAUGACGUCCAGGGAAAACUUCACUUUAGGAAGUCUCAAGAAAGAUGACAGUGGUAUUGACAUGGAGAAGUCUCCAACUACAAGUGCAAAAGAGAUGUCAGAUGCGGAGUGCAGUGAAUCACUGAAUGACAGUGCUGCUUGUUCACAAAGUGAAUCGGUCAGUGAUGUCAAAUGGGAAGAUGUAAAAGCUAAAUCAGAAGAAACAUCAGAUGUAGGGAUCGAUUCAUCCGAAAGCACAGGUAUGCGUGAUUGUAAUGACACCGAUGAUAGUGAAAAUGUUGCUACCUCUAAUAUGACUGAGUCUCCCGUUACUAGUCCACAUCAUGAUGUCAGUGAUACAUCCACAAAUAUUGUUGCAGAUGACUCCGAAACAAACACGGGAUCCCCUGGCACACGUAAGCGAAGGCAUGAGCGUAGCAAUUCAUCCUCAAGUGACUCUGAGGACAGUGACAAUGAAAAUGCUGACACCGGCAAGAAGAAAGAAUCUGAAUCUGAAAGUGAGGAUGAGAUGGACGUUGAUGACGAUGGCAUCAGACCACGUCAUAAAUGGAGAGCUGUGUCAGACUUGCGUGAUCGAGAGUAUGGUUACACCAAUAGAUCACCUCCAUCCUUAUUUCGUGAGAAGAUUCAGGGUAGUCUUCAAAUGGUACAAAGACUAAAGUUACAGUAUAGGAUGGAAUAUCAUGAGGGAUGCGUCAACGCUUUACACUUCAACAGAAUCGGCACACUGCUGGCGAGUGGGUCUGAUGAUCUCAACAUAGUGCUGUGGAACUGGCUCAGGAAUCGGCCGGCCCUUGUGUAUGACAGUGGCCACAGGAGCAACGUCUUUCAGGCAAAGUUCAUGCCGUAUAGUGGUGACUGUCAUGUUGUCAGCUGUGCACGGGAUGGGCAAGUGAGGCUGGCGGAGUUAUCUCUCACUGGUGUGUGCAAGGGCACCAAGAAGCUGGCCCAACACAAGGGGGCAGCACACAAGCUGGCCCUGGAGUUCGACUCGCCUCACCUGUUUCUCAGCUGUGGGGAGGAUGCGAUGACGUACGAGAUGGAUCUCCGACAGGACAAGCCUAACAAACUGAUAACAACCAAAGAAAAUGACCGGAAGGUAGCUCUGUACUCCAUCCACUCCAACCCACGCAACUCUUUCGAGUUCUGUGUGGGAGGUCGGGAUCACUACAUCAGAGUCUAUGACAAGAGAAGGAUUGCAGAGGAUGUCAAUGGCGGAGUGCUGAAGAAAUUUUGCCCUCAUCAUCUGUUGGACAGUGAUGUGAAGGCCAACGUGACCUGUGCCUGCUACAACUACAAUGGAACAGAGGUGCUGGGGACAUACAAUGAUGAGGACAUCUACCUGUUCAACAACUUCCACUCCGACGGGGCAGAGUUCACACAGAGGUACCGCGGUCAUCGCAAUAACGCUACAGUGAAGGGAGUGAACUUCUAUGGGCCUAAGAGUGAGUACAUCGUGAGCGGCAGUGACUGCGGCCAUGUGUUUCUGUGGGACAAGGAGACGGCCAAGAUCGUCAACUUCAUGGAAGGCGAUGAAGGAGGUGUGAUCAACGUGCUGGAGCCCCAUCCCUUCGCACCGAUCCUGGCUACGAGUGGGUUAGACCAUGAUGUCAAGAUCUGGGCACCCACAGCGGAGGAACCAACCCGACUGAAGGGACUGAGGAAGGCAGUGAAGCGGAACUGUAAAGAGAGAGAUGAGGAGAGAACGCAAGAGCCGGAGAUGAUCGAUGGGCAGAUGCUGUGGUUUAUCAUGCACCACUUCCGGCGCUCAGCCAGGAGGAGGUUGCGUCAAGAAGGGGAAGAGGUGUCGAGUUCCAGCGAAAACAGCGACUCUGAUUCUGAUGAGGAAGAGGCUGAGGACCCUGAAAGACUACAAUGUACCCCGUCCUAGUCAUGUGAUGGUCAUGUGACACGCAUGUUGUCAAAUGCAUAAGAUGUUCUAGCCACGUCACAUGACAUGGAUUAUGUGACAGUCACAUGGCAUCAGAUGGUCAUGUGACUUGAAAUCCUAGCUGUGUUGCAGUUACUUGUUGCAUGUGUGACCACUGCCAGUUUGCAUUACAAAUAAGACAUUGUUGGGAUGAUCAUGACACCACAAGGCAUUUAAUGCUAUCAGUGCAUCACCAUUAUAACACAUGGCAGUACAGCAUUGAAGAAACGCCCUCACUUUAAGGCAGGUGGAGGAACUUGAAAAUAGCAAGUUUCAGGAAUCUGCAGAAUUCGGAAAACAUUUUGGAAGAAUCAGUUAUGAAAUUUAUUAAGAUCCGAGAACGUUACCUUCAAAUUAUAGCUUUGUUUACGAUGAGAUAAUGUCACCAUAUUGAAUUAACUAAACAGUCUUUUUCUGUGAAUAUUGUAAAAACAGUUGAGUUCAGAAGAUCAGUUUAGCCUAUGUAUAUGUGAGGUAUAGUGGUGUGAAUAUCUCUGCUCACAACCCUGCUAGCUUGUGUGUAGUGUGUUUCAAGGAAGUAAGCAGUUGAUACGUAUCACCGGUACUGAACUUACAAGGAGGGAAGAGCUGCUUUCACUUCAAGAACGCCCCCAUGGUUGCUGUUUCGUGUUCUCUGAAGAUACCUGGUUUUGGAUCUGUGCUAAAUGUGAUAAUCAUGCAGAAAUAUGUGGUGAAAAUGACCUGAAAGAAGCUUCUUGUAAGUCUGAGCUAUGGCUAAAAUUCUCCCAGAAAGUAACUCUUCUUCAACUUGGAAAAUUGACUUUUCUUUGGUCUGUUUUAGGAACACAUUUAUGACUUGUCUGAACAUUAUCACCAGAUGUGGCAGGCAGAAUAUUAGGAUCAGAUGGACUUAGGUUUGAUCUGCCUCACCAGAGAGAUGGUUCUACAGGGAUGGAAAUUAACUCAAUGGAUUAGUGGGAGUUUUUCACUGUAAAGGUUACUAAUAUGAUAAAAUAUGAAGACUUUGAAAUUAUAAUCUUUUAUUUGCCAUAAGCACAUUCUGUUGUUAAGGUUCAGUGACAAUGUAUAGGUUGGUAAAUUCGAAAAUUGUGUACAUUAUUCAUUACAAGAAAGACUUGAACGAUUGUGCCAAAUGUUUAUCGCAGCAAUUUGAGAGGGUAAACCGAUAGGGUGAUAGAUAAUUUACAGCUUAUGUCAAAAAAAGUUACAGGGCUAGUAGACAUAAUUUUUUAGCCCAAAGUAAUUUCGACUGGCCUUGGGCCUACGGUCAAGCAUUAAUUUCCAUCCCUUGUUUCUACAGUCAAUAUGCUGAUUUGUACACAGAACAAGAACAGAGCAUCGUGAUGCAGGAAACAUGGGAACAUUCUUGACGAACUUCUCCUUGACGCAGUUCAUGCCAUAGCAACCUAGAGAUUCAUUCAUUAUUCUUAUGAGUAUUUGCACUGCUGUGUAAAGUUUAAAAAGACAAAUUUACUAGAAAUAGAUUAUUUUUCAAAUUUUCAAUUGAAAAUCAUCAUCAAAGAGAGCAUUCUCAUAUCGUGAUCCCAGCUUCGAUAUAUUAUGCUAGGUGAUAGUUUGACAGCAACUGUAACUCAUAGCUUUAAUGAAACAUAGAUGGGUGACUUACUGUACGACAUGUAAAAUCUGUACAUAUUGUAUGCUUGUAUGCUAAUAUUGUGUGACGUUAUUGAGUUUGAAGAUGUAUGAUCCUGUGUUCCUGUAUAAUCUCUACAGUUUGCCAUAUCAGCUAGAUCUAACAUUUUAUAUUUUGUUUCUGGUGUCCAGUGUUCCUGCAUUUAGAUACUCCUAUGCUGGAUUGAGUAAUGGCAGUUGAGGACAAGCUAGGUGUGAUUUUGUUAUUUUUGCAUGCCGUGUUGGCGACAUGUUGAUAAUGUUUGUAAGUGCAAGGCUUCGAGUUCACUUUGUAGAAUUGCUCCUAGAUAAUGAAGUGUAUUCCAGAAUCUUUUUGGGUGCUGUGAUAAAGUUCUGCCCUGAAAGUGUUCCUUGUGUUGAAAAAGUAGAAUAUGGAUCCCAAAUGGGUCAUGCUUUUUGCGACUAACGGGAUUGGGUGGUCAGACUCACUGACUUGGUUGAUGCAUGUCAUCGAUCCCAAUUGCGUAGAUCGCAGCUCAUGAUGUCAAUCACUGGAUAGUCUGGUCCAGAAUCGAUUAUUUACAGACCGCCGUCAUAUAGCUGGAAUAUUGCUGAGUGCGGCGUUAAACAACAAACAAACAAAAGAAACAAAAACAUGUUUUUUUAAAGAGGUGAGGUAAAAUGGGGUUUAUGAUCCAACCACGAGCCUUAGAGGCGACUAUGAUGGGGGUCAGGGGGUCACAAUGGGUACUGAGUGGUGGUGGUAUUUGGCUGGAUGACCACAAUCGUCGAGGUACAACUGCUUUAAGUAAUGUUGACGCAUGGGAGUCGGAUCACUUAGAUUGUGUGAUACCAGACCCUUGAGUUCUGCUCUUGUUUUCGACAAAUGAUUUGCGAUGCGGGCUCAAUGACAGAUUGCAGUGAUACAGCUUUUCUAUUGCUCACUGUGGCAGUGUCCCUACAUUCACCAGCACACUCCCUCAUUGUCUAUCCCUGACCCACGCCCUUCAAUCACAAGACCAAAUGAAUACAUUACGACUCCCUACACAGUAUUGUACAUCUGACAUAGAUCAUUUUUAAUGGGGAUCUGACUGAUAUCAGUAUACUGUGUCUGAGUGGGGUAUUCAUGUUAAACUGC